GGUAUUGACAUCCCAAUAUUUAGGGGGAAGUUCCCAGGUAUCGUCCGCUAGUGACAGUCUACUGGCAAAGCCAGACAUGCAUUGGAAGGAUGCUGAUAAGAAGGACACAGGAACACCUGAUCCAAGAACUGUGGCAUUUCAUUCGGAGCGAUAGCCUGGCAUUCAGUUGGUAUGACUCUUUGAGGUUGAAUGUAGGGUUAAAUCUGUAUACAUUUGGUUAACAUUCAAAUAAAUCCAGAUAAUACAUGCACAAAUGGAAUCAUGGCGUCAUGAUACAUGGAUAUGCGUGUACCAUUUUACUGUUUUUACUGCAUUACUAGGUAUCACAUACAUACAAAAAGAGACAAAAAACGGAAAAUCAUUAUUCUUUUUCUAAUUAUAAAGUAUGACAAGUUUUCUAAAUGCUGACAAAUAAGGUGUGGUGGCCAAUACUGAUUUUAUUUGCAAUUUCCUUUCAGAUAUGGGACCCGAUUAUUCAGAUAACUGCAUAUUUUAUGAAGCUGUUUUUGACAGAAGAUUUGGGUUUUCUCCAUCUGUGUUGUCACCAACCAUUAUGCUGAGAUGGUCAUAUCUAGGGGGAAGGAUUGUCAUUAUGCUUCCCAAGGAAGUUCGCAGCCUCUCACUGAAGAGGAAUUGUACAGAUUUUUGUGCAUUAUCUUAUACAUGUCUGCUGUGAAGUUCCAGUCGAUAGACAGAUAUUGGUCAAUGCAUGCCCCUAUCGGAACAACCUAGUACAGUGUAUCAAGAAUGAUGUCUAGAAAUAAGUUUAAAAGGUUGAAUAUAAGAACAUUUUUGUUAAAUAUGAUGCAAGUACAUUUAAAUCUAGUGAUUGAAACUAAGUACUUGAACAUUCGUAUACGUUGAACUUAGAGAGGAAAAAAUGGGUAGUACUUUUUGAUAACAUUUGAUAAGGUGCUGUUGCUUAGCAACCAAAUAUAUUUGAAUGCAACAAAUUAAAUUAUUUUAGAUUAACAAUAGAGAUCUUUGUUUUAAUGUUGCAAUAUUUAUUCUAAUUAGUGGAACAUAAUGGCAAAACGUCAUAUUAUUAGAAAAUGAUGGAUAUGUACAAUGUAUAUAAAGUACAAAGUUUCCAUUUUAUGACCUUUGACCUUAAUUCUCAUCAUAUUUUUUGUUAAAAACCUUUUUAAAUGAUUAAGAUUUAUUUAAAGAUUAUAUUUGUAAAAUAAUGUGACAUUUACUAAUCAUCAUUCAAUGUAAUUAUGUUUAAAUUGUGUCGAAUGUAUGCAGAAAGGCAAAUUAUGAUCAAAAUUGUACUAUGAGUGUUGUUACUUAGCAACCAAAAAUAUUUGUCAAUAAAAUUGAUUAAUUU
Molecule: long non-coding RNA, 1330 nt
Organism: Ostrea edulis (European flat oyster)
Lineage: Eukaryota; Metazoa; Mollusca; Bivalvia; Ostreida; Ostreidae
Exons: 2
Source: RefSeq, a predicted model, not a curated record